GUCUGUGGCCACACUACCCUGAACACAUUCGGUCUCGUCUGAUCUCGAAGUCUAAGCAGCAUAGGACCUGGUUAACACUGGAA
RNAcentral lists this ribosomal RNA (83 nucleotides) under Erinaceus europaeus (western European hedgehog). The record is from RNAcentral. Lineage: Eukaryota; Metazoa; Chordata; Mammalia; Eulipotyphla; Erinaceidae.